RNAcentral lists this ribosomal RNA (447 nucleotides) under uncultured bacterium. Its description in RNAcentral is "partial 16S ribosomal RNA". It matches the Rfam family "Bacterial small subunit ribosomal RNA", at positions 330 to 793 of the family's 1533-position model. The record is from RNAcentral.
CCCAGACUCCUACGGGAGGCAGCAGUGGGGGAUAUUGCACAAUGGGGGGAACCCUGAUGCAGCGACGCCGCGUGGGUGAAGGAGCGUUUCGGCGCGUAAAGCCCUCUCGGCAGGGAAGAAGGAGGACGGUACCUGACCAAGAAGCCCCGGCUAACUACGUGCCAGCAGCCGCGGUAAUACGUAGGGGGCAAGCGUUAUCCGGGUUUACUGGGUGUAAAGGGGGCGCAGACGGCAGCGCAAGCCAGGAGUGAAAGCCCGGGGCCCAACCCCGGGACUGCUCUUGGAACUGCGCGGCUGGAGUGCAGGAGGGGCAGGCGGAAUUCCUGGUGUAGCGGUGGAAUGCGUAGAUAUUAGGAGGAACACCAGUGGCGAAGGCGGCCUGCUGGACGAUGACUGACGCUGAGGCUCGAAAGCGUGGGGAGCAAACAGGAUUAGAUACCCGUGUAU